This 2201-nucleotide long non-coding RNA is filed under the name Medicago truncatula (barrel medic). Its description in RNAcentral is "long non-coding RNA (MTRU_LNC002219)". Lineage: Eukaryota; Viridiplantae; Streptophyta; Magnoliopsida; Fabales; Fabaceae. The record is from RNAcentral.
UUGUUACACCUUGGCCGAGGAAUGCUUCCGUUUGGUGGAAGAUUUAGUGAAGCUAGAAGACUUUGGUGGAGCACAAGGUUGGUUCAAUUCGGAGGUUUUCCGGAAAGUAGGUAAUGAUUUCAAAACUAGUUUUUGGAAGGAUAUUUGGCGUGGAGGAGGGAGUUUUGCUCAAAAAUAUCCUAGACUUUUUUCAAUUUCAACCCAAAAGGAGGCUACGGUGGGAGAAAUAGGGGCGGCUUCGGGGGUAGGAACGGAUUGGAAUUUUAAUUGGAGAAGACAACUCUUUGUGUGGGAGGAGGAGUUGUUUACUAGCCUUCGGGAAGAUUUAGAGGGUAUGGUUUGGUCUAAUGAGGAGGAUGAGUGGAGAUGGAAAUUAGAAGAUAAUGGUUUUUUCUCGGUGAAGUCGGCAUAUUUGAAGUUGGAGGGAGUGGUGUUGAAGGAAGAUUUGUGGGAUGAAGAGGAAAGAGGGGUGUUUGAUCAAUUAUGGAAGAGUCCAGCGCCGUCGAAAGUGAUUGCAUUUACUUGGAAGGUACUCCUUAAUCGUAUCCCAACUAGAGUUAAUCUUGCCUUGAGGAAUGUUCUACCACCGGAUGCCUCAAACUUGUGUGUGUUGUGUAAUUUGAAGGAAGAAUCGGCCAUACAUCUUCUCUUGCACUGCGAAGUGGCGUCUAAGGUGUGGCUAAAUAUUAUGUUGUGGUUGGAGGUCUUGUUCUUAAUUCCAUCUAAUUUCUUUGUGCAUUGGGAGUGUUGGAGUGUGGGGAAAGAAAUAAAAAAGUAACUAAAGGACUAUGGUUAAUUUGGCACACAACCAUGUGGACUUUGUGGAAAGCGAGAAAUGACAAAAUCUUUAAGGGUAUUAGUAGAGUGGUGGAUGACAUAGUUGAGGAGAUUAAGGUUUUGUCUUGGAGAUGGAUGUUGAAUAGGACGAAUAACCCGCCAUGCCUUUUCUAUGAAUGGUGUUGGAAUCCAAGAUAUUGUCUUGCUAGAUGAUAGUUUGGUCCUUGGGUGCGGUGUAUUUCGUGAGGUAGAAGCUUUUGGUUUGGGAUUCCUAUGCAGGUUGGUUUGUGCAGCUUUUGAGGACUUUGGGUGUGUUUCGGUUUUGGAUAGUUUUUGCUGUUACUUGUUGGAUUUGUCUUCCACGAGUACUGUGAGGCUUGUGUGCAGUUUUGGCUAGUUGGUUUGUGCGGCUGCCACUUUCAAUUUUCUGUUUUCAUGUUACUUCGGCAUCUUGCUGCUGAAGUAUAUUGAUUGGUGAGGCAGGGGUAUGCUUGGGUGUCAGUGCUCUUUGGCUUGUCUGCUUGUAUAGCUUUGGUGCGGUGCUAGGAGGUCUGUGCGCUACCUGGUUUUGUGGCAGCAGUGCUGUUGUAUGUUUUAACAGCUGGGGCGAGACGUAUCAGUUGGCUGGUGGUUGUUUGCUUGCCAGGUUUUGGCUGUUAUUAGUAGUUUCGGCGGCCUUUGGUGUUGAUGCAGGGGUAUGCUUGUGGUCUGUCACUUGUAUAUGCCUGCGUCAUUACUCUUGUGGUGUGUUCCUUAGUUUAUGGGUGGUUUUUAAAGGGAUUUUUGUUCGAGCCGGAGUUUGUAUGGCAACUGAUUUCCCCUUCUUUGUAUUUUUUCUCCACCCGAGCUUAUUAGUGCGUCUUGCACGGGCUUGUUGGUUAAUAAUAUUUUGCCGAUUCAAAAAAAAAAAACUCUGCAAACACCUCCUUCAUUGUUGUUAUUUGUUGGAAGUAUAAAUUCAAUGCAGCUUUUUGUUCUUACUUAACUUACCUUAAAAGUUUUAGGGAACAUGCAAUAGUCUGUCUAUGCACAUUUGACAACUUUGCCCAUGAAUAUCUCAUGGUUCAUUGACAGUACACUCAAACUUUUAUCAGCAACCUGUGAUGUUGCAAUGAAGUCAGCGACAAUAUAUAAAUUUUCAGAAUGAAUGGCACCAGUUAUUCCAAUAAACUCAAAUGAGAUUUAUAAAUUGCAUUUUCCCCCUUUAUCACAUUUAGCAGGCACAAACGAGGUAAAACACUUCAAACAUUUUGGCUAGAUCCAAACUCAAAACAUUAUUGAUGAUAUGAUGCUAUUGUAUAAAUUAAGCAUUGUGUCUUAAGAAUGGUUUUUGGGAUAAAGAAGGGUUAUGAGAUUCCUAUCUAAGCAGAAUUGUCUUUGUAUGUACAAGGUGGUUACAAGUUGAUGAAAAAAGUUUUUUUAAG